UUCCCACAUAGGAAUCGAACCCUGGCCUCCUUGAUAAGAGCUAGGUAUAUGAACCUUUAGACCAUAUGUGA
Araneus ventricosus is the source of this 71-nucleotide non-coding RNA. The record is from the annotation of a GenBank genome assembly. NCBI's taxonomy places the organism in Eukaryota, Metazoa, Arthropoda, Arachnida, Araneae, Araneidae.